UUUCUUUCUUUCUUUCUUUUU
This 21-nucleotide small RNA is filed under the name Arabidopsis thaliana (thale cress). RNAcentral's name for it is "ATSL253890". The record is from RNAcentral. Lineage: Eukaryota; Viridiplantae; Streptophyta; Magnoliopsida; Brassicales; Brassicaceae.